Molecule: long non-coding RNA, 2490 nt
Organism: Mus musculus (house mouse)
Lineage: Eukaryota; Metazoa; Chordata; Mammalia; Rodentia; Muridae
Product: RIKEN cDNA C330002G04 gene
Exons: 8
Source: RefSeq, a predicted model, not a curated record
GAUUCAUCCAAGUGUUGUUGAUUCUUCAAGAACACAGGAUUCAAGAAUGAGGGGCGCAUGGAGGCUUGCCGAAGGAGGCUUGCAUGGAAAGCUGCCAAAGCCAGGCAAUGUAUGGCUGGGUUGGAUUCCCUACAUCGAGGCCCUGAAAGGUGUGGUGGUGUCCGCCUGUGAUUCUGAACUUGGGAGAAUAUGAUAAAGAGAGUUACUACAGGUUUGAGGCCAGCAACGGUAACAGACCCGAUCCUCCUGCCUAGGAAUGGUGCUGCCCACAGUGGGCUUAAUCCUCCCACAUUAAUCAUCAGUCAAGACAAUCUCUUGUGGACAAUUCCUCAGUAGUUCAGAUUUCCUCUUCCCAGCAAAUAAUUGCUCAGAAAGAUAAACAGUUGACGGAGAUUCCUCUGGCCCAAGAAUUCUACCAUGUUGCCCAGAAAAGGGAGGCCUGGAGACUAUAUCAGAUGAGAAAUACCAAAGCUAGGAGCAACAACUCACCCAUGAUUGCUCAACCAGUGAAUGCUAAAUUCAAACCCAGUCAGCCAGUCAGCUGGUUUAGAGAGUGAAGACACUUGACUGACAUUCCCCGGGAAGAUGCUCUCAACAGUUGUACUGACUGGUUCCCUCUGCAACCCAGCCAACAUGCAGGAACAUGACUACUGACAAACCCAAGGGGCUGGGAUCACAGGUGUGUACCACCUUGGCUAACUGACUGGCACUCCUAGACCAUCAAUACCCUCCGUCCAAGAAUGCAGCCAAAAGUAUAGCUUCAGCCGGAUCAUAGAGCUCCACGGCACCAGUGCUACUGGAAAGCAGGCAUUCUGGGUAUAGUUUAUUGGGCGUGUACUGAAGUAUCGUCUCUACAGGUAAAGACUUAGUUCACCAGGAAGUUGAGAAGGCGCUGUUUCAGAUAGAGGAUAAUGGCGCUCAGGGUUUGUCAGACAGUAGGCAUGUAUUGAAUUGAGUUGUGAAUAUCCCUUUUACUUUUGCCUGGAAAGGAGUCACUCAACAAGUUCUCCCGCACCUCCCUACUUCUACCCUGUCCCCUGCCACAUGCCACAUGCUCUGUCUAGAAUUCUUUAGCUACUUUCUUCCUGUCGCAGGAUAAAGUCAAGACUCUAGCCUGGCUUGGUGUACAGAAUGAUGAAUCUCCUUUCUUCUCCCCGGGUCAGAGAAUAAUAACUCCACCAUCAUAGACUGUGUGAAUUGAAGGAAACAUUGUCCCCAGCAGCGCCUCUCAGUGGCGAGUCCUUUGCACAGGGCAGUGUGGCUCCUACUGAUCCCCAGGUUUUUGUGUCAGUGUUUCUUCAGCUAGAGACUUGUUUUACCUGGGACUCUAGCCUUGGGAAUACCUGAUUCUAUCCUGUCAUCUUUAGUCCUUCCUACGUAUUCCUCCUGUUAGGCUGGGGGUGGGGUGGGGUUGUUCUUUCUUCUUAAUUCUAAAGACUUUUGAGUCGUGCUCUACUCAGAGUCCCAGAGUUGGUUAUGAAGUCCAAUCUCCUACCCGGAUGUGGGAAGCCAUCCCCGCGCUGUCUUCCCGGGGGCCAUUAGCUUCUACUUGAGUGCUGUGAAUGCUGAUGAGCCAUACUUAGGAUGCUUGUUCCCAUUUUUCAACAGCUCUAAUUAAAUAAUGAAAACAUGCAAUUAUCUUUUUAGCCAUGAGUGUCUUGCCUUUUUAAUAAAAAUUUCAGUUCUUUCACAAGAACAAAGUAACUGCUCGAAAGGCAUUGAUUAUAUUUAUGCCUUAAAUGAUAAUUUCAUGACAUUAGUAGCUGAACUACUUUUCCCAUUUCCUUCUAACUAUACCAUUUGCUGGAGGAGAUGGCUUGCAUCAGAAGGCUUGCGAUUAUGGGAUGACAUCUAGAGUGGACUUUAGCACAAAGUCAAUAAAGAAAACCGUGACAACUGAGGUUGGUGUCUCUUGGUAUGUCACCCAACUUUGCUCAGGAGAAAUUUGGAGGCAAUACAUGGGGAGAACAUCACAUGACGUGAAGACAGAGCCUAGUGUGAUGCUUGCACAAGCCAAGGAAUGCCAGAGAUUGUGAGCAAGUGGCCCGAAGCAGGCAAGACCAGGGGAAGGAUCUCUCUCAGACCCUUAGAAAGGAGCAAACUUAUUGACAUCUUUACUUUGGACUUGAAAUCUCCAGAAAUUUGAGGCAAUGACUAAAUAUGUGUGCUUAGUAUUUGAGACAGAGAACAUGAGAGCAAUAUUCUGAUUUUGAGGGAUACUAGCCAUUAGCCCACAAUAUCCCAACAAUAUAUUGAAAGAUUCUGACCAUGAUACAGACCGCUGCUUUAAGGAGUGAUUUAGAAUGGUAAAAAAGGGGCUGGAGAGAUGGCUGAGUGGUUAAGAGCACUGACUGCUCUUCCAGAGGUCCUGAGUUCAAUUCCCAGCUAUCACAUGGUGGGUCACAGCUGAAAUGGGAUCUGAUGUCCUCUUCUGAUGGGUUUGAGAAUGCCUAUAGUGUGCUUGUAUACAUAAAAUAAAUAGUUCUUUUU